Long non-coding RNA from Rhipicephalus microplus (southern cattle tick), 2397 nucleotides. RefSeq lists it as uncharacterized. The record is from RefSeq and is a predicted model, not a curated record. Lineage: Eukaryota; Metazoa; Arthropoda; Arachnida; Ixodida; Ixodidae.
ACGCUUGUCACGCCGGAACGUCGCGGUCGAGAACUCAUUAGAAACGACCAUGUUCAACGGCGAUUUGCGACACCAAGGCGUGUAUUCGUUAUCCUACUCUGAUCGGCUAACCUGUGGUUGCGUGAAGUCGGACAAUAUGCCACCAGAAGUUUGCGCAAGGUGUCGUUAACUUCACUGCUUCGAGUCACCAUUGGGUCGGAGCUUUCCCGCCAAGCUGACCAGCGAACAAGUUUUGUGGAUUUCGCUACCAGGAAGCACCGCCCAAAAGCAGUGCUACAAGGAUGUGAGCCACAGGUUCUUUUCAACGAACGAAUCAGAUGCCUGAGAGCCACGGGCCGGCUGCUUCUGGCCUAUACAGACAGUGCAGCCACCACAGUAAAGUUCUUGCAAAGACAUUCUACAAAAGCUGGCCCAAGGGAGGACGGAAGACAGUACAGAUGGACACACAGAAGCAAUCGGGCUGCCUUAGAAACUAUGACUGAGCAUUAACCUACAUUUAGAAAGGAGCCAAGUGGAGCUGUUCAUGGGUCAUGUACACUGUUUCAUAAGCGGGCUUUUAGCACUUUUUACAAUUAUGUUUCUGAAUACAUCUGCCAAAGUUGUGUUCAAAGAAGCGUGUAGUAGUGUAUUCAAUUAUUAAUUUGGCAUGCUGCAGCAGGUAUGACUCACACAUCUGCAAAAUAACGCAGCACAGUGCGCACACACAAACUACCCCCACAUACACUCUGGAUUUGUGGCUUAACUGUAAAUUGUUUACUCUGGCCUUGCACAACAAUUAAUAAGAAAAUGACAUGAAAGCUUUACCAUCUAUGCAGGUAGCGUUCUCAGUAUAUGCUGGCAAUAAGUGUGCAAAGUUCAAUCAGUUCACUGGUCACAUAUUUUCUUGUAAACAUUUAUAGAUAGAAGGCCGGGGUUGCUGGAAGCUGAUACAUGGUAACGAAUGGACCGCGACUCGAAAAGUUUUCUGUUUUCUCACAUUUGUACACGAGGUGGCGUAGUCAAACUGUUCAGGCAGCAGCUAUCUCUUGUCACUCAGCAGCGUUCAACAAGCUCUGUGUCAGAACAUGUUGCAUUGAAAACGUAAGCAACAUCCUUUUUACGUUCUUGAAGUUUCGGUGACCUUUUUUCAUUUCUUUUGCCCACGGAAGUUGUGUUACAAUCUUUGAAUUACACUUUACCGAUGACUUCACUCAAACAUUCAGAGCUUUUCGGUAUACCUUGGGCUAGACGUUCACGGACCACACACCUGCGCAUGAUCGGAGGAAGGUCUCCUACAAAGUACACUGGGGUAUUGCAACACCACUCCUAUUGGUAAAAUGGGCAGAAAGAGUUCAGAGGUUUAAAGACUGCAAAGGGGGGAUGCUGCUAUUGCCCCCGGUGCAGCUUGUUUCAAGACUGAGUUUAACUGCUUGAUGACAAGGUAUAGCUUCUAUAUAAACAGUGCUUGAAAGUGGCUUGGCGACAGAUCUGGGGGGCGGGGGACUUGGAAUAUUGAUUUAUUUAUUGUCAACCAUUAACUUCCAAGAACAACAUGUUCUCGAGGAUGUAUACUGCUGAAGAACUGGUCAACCUCCACUGAUUUGUUGCCAACAUAUGCUCACGGCUACCUGCAUAGGAGUUAAUACUUAUAUGCAACUUUAUUAAUUGCAAGUCCAAGUAAACUUUUUACACUCAUUAAUUCACACGUCGUUUGGAACAUUUUUGCAUGUACAGAUUGGCUGAACAAAAAGAAAUCAGCAAAUUGGGGGAAGGGAAGAUGUCAUGUGAACUUAGCACGGGUAAAUUUUUGGCCUUGUUGGUGUAACAUUUUCAUAAAGUUCAGCGUAGCUCUUCAAAUCACAAGGAUAGGACAGGCGUGUGUAUGUUCCGCCUGUCCCAUCUUCAUAAUUUUAGUGCCGUGAUUCACAUGUGCUCUUUGUGCCUUUGUUUGCUGCACACUCCAUUCUUGUGUUCAUUGUGUAGAGUUUUGUUCAACUAGACUCCUGUUCAAUUUGGUGUUGUGUACAUAACAAACAGGUACAUUAGGGAGCUAGCCAUGAAUGAUUGCAUUCAUUCCACAAAAUCAUGCUACCUAUGCAAAACAUAUAGUACGUUGUAAUCAUUCUAUGAACCCUGUGUUGAAUUGCAGAUGAAGAUGUGUCCAGAAACUAAAUUAACAGUGUGUCCAGCCAACAAAACUCUCCGUCAAACAACACAAAUAACUCACACUCACAGGCAGGCAUAACAUAAAUGAAAUUCUUCAUUGCUAUAUUUUGCAAGCAGGCUGCAUGGCGCUCCUGUGCAGCGGCAUACUGUUGUGCAGAACAACACAGCAGACUGUUGUGUGAAACAAUACAAACAUUUUUGUAUUAGUUGCAAUAACCUAUAGACUAUGCAAGUACGAAUUGUGCUUUUGUG